UGGAAUCCAGAUUAAAGUAAAAUUUGAAUCAAGUUUGAAUUUGUAGUUUGAAAUAAAACAUAAAAUAGAAAAGGGAAACAAAAAAGGGAAAACCUCACCUGGGCCAUGUACCACUCACUUGGCCCCACUGCCUUACUUGUGUCAGCCCAACACCGGCCCGUCAGCCUCUCCACACCGCGCGCUAGUGUUGCCUUAAGUCACCGGUGGUUGGGGCCCACCUUUCGGGUCCCUCCCCUUCGUCAUCUCCGAACCGGUGUGAGCACCAAAAACUCCAUGGAUCUCGCAUAACAAACACCGUAGCUGCCUUCGCUUGCAGGCUCCUCUCGCGGCCAUAUAAGCCGACUCCCCUCUGCAGUCUCCCUCGCGUCCGGGUUCCGUGAACCACCCCGAGGCCAGUAGUUGAAAGCUCUGUCUACAUCACCGGGCGAGCGUAUAGAAAGGUAGGAGCCCGUCAUUGGAGGAACUUCGAUUUGCCAUCCUUGAUGCACCUGGGGCGGGCCAGGGAGAUGCGCCUAGCAUCUGGGAGGGUUCUCUUGGGAUUCGCUUAUGAAGAGCUCGAUCAGUUUCUGAACGGUGCAAUGGCUCCAUCGCGUGCCGCACCGUGCCGUGGGUGGCUCUCCAGACAUCGUAUCUGUCUCCGGUAAGUUCCCAGCUACUUUUGCCACGUUCGUAGAAUCGUGUAGCUGCUGACCAAUUUGAGUUUGGUGCUCGGGAGGGCCGUUCGGGCAUCUUGUCGGCGGUGCUCCACCGUGGGAGUCACGAGCGCCGCCGUGGUUGGCAUAUGCCGUCAUGGGGAUGAAGGGAAUGGCUGCUCGAUCUGUAUUGUGCGGUGUAGAUUAGACAGCCGGAUAACUCUUCGUCAUUGCUGAUCGUGGCUAUCGAUCGUAGUAUCCACGUGUGAGAUGGGGUUCGGACUUCAUAGAAUUCGGGCCGUCGGAUCUCGAUUCAGUGGUGACUAUCACGUACUGAUUUACUGGUGAUGGGAUCUAAUCUGAUCCGUUGGUUUAAGAUCUAGGGGCCGAAAAGGAAGCACGUGACAUAGCCAACUAGUUUUUCAUAAAGAACCCCCCCAAAAAAGUUCAUAAACUAAGCUGAUGUCCAUUGUAGUUGUAAAAUCAUUGCACCAGGUCCUUUAUUUUGCAGACUAACCCCUGGACUCCCUAAAUAUAUUAACCGUUGUCCUUUUGAAAACUUAAAUUUAUAAAAUGAAUCAGGAGUUUCAUAAAAGCCUUUAUUAAACACAUUUUAAGUGUAAAAAAUUAUUUUAUAAAUGUAUAAAAACCAUAACUCCUCUGUUUUAGAUCUGAUUAAACCCACUCCAGUUGCAGUAACUUAGUAAUUAAAUUUCCUACACAUUAACAACAUUAUUUUAUCAUAUAACAUUCUACAUUCUACAUUGGAGAAGAACCUGGGGUUGCACCAAAAAGGAAAGUUGUGCCCUUGAUCACUUUUCUUUACCUAAUAAUGUUCCGGUCAAUCACUAUGACAUGCUCAUGUUAAUUUGAUGGGACCUAAUAGGUUACCCUAGUUUUGUUCACCAUACACCUUGCAAACAAAUAAACUAUUGGGUAGACUCGCUAUUGCUCUACCUAGUUUUGUGAUUAAUGUUAUAUCUAAAUUAUAUAUGAUCAUGUUCCAUUAUUUUUGUUGAUUUGAUUAUUGUUCAUGAUAAGAUUAUUAUGUUAAUUGGAACAUGGAGAACCACCCAGGAAAAUAGUGCUACCACAAGGGUGGAAUGGGACGCCCUUGGCUGACUAAUUAGGAAAACUACUGGAGGACUACGUUACCCAAAAGAGGCAAGGGCGAUAGAGGAGUUGCCGGUGUAGGGAGCUCUCGGGUCGAUCAUGCUGCGAUGGCUUUUCGAAUGAGGGAUUCCUAUAUCGCUCUUCUCACAAAAUCGUAGCAAGUUUUCUGAAGCUAGUGGAACUUUAUAAAGGCCUCGUAGUGGAUCCCUAACCAUUCAGCUCAGAAGUGUCUAAGUGCCUUGCAAACCCUGGCUAGAUGGGAUACACGACUUGUGGGUAAAGGGAGCAACCUCUGCAGAGUGUAAAACUGCUAUAUCAGUCGUGCUCACGGUCUUGAGCGGCUCGGACCCUCACAUGAGUAACUUAUGGAAUUAAACUUAAUCUAUCGUUUGCAUUGCAUUGUGGGAUUUAUUAUUAAUUGUGAUAUCUUAUUUUAUUGGAAUGGUAUCUACUUAUACUUAGUAAAUGCUAAUGAAAUUUUGACCAACUUGUUAAAAGCAACACUCAGCCUUAACCAUUCUAUUUGGUAAGCCUUACACUUCACAUGAGCCCCACCGUAAGUGAGCCCAUGCACAUUAUUCCCCAAAACUUGUUGAGCGAUGAAUGUAUGUGAGCUCACCCUUGUUGUACUCACACCCCUAGGUCAAGAACAUGUAUCGAUAAGACGAGGAGCAUGAAGGAUGCCAUGAUGAGUUCGUGAGAGGUCUAGGCCAUCGUCUCCCAGUCAACUAUGGUUGUGGAGGAUCGUUGUCUCCAUAUGUUGUAAUUAUAUAACUAUUUUGAACAGAACUCCUAUUAUAUAGUAAAGAUGUGAUAUCCGUUUCUGUACCAUGAGUUAUCAUAUGUGUGAGACUUGAUCCUAUCACACAUUUGAUUCAUGCCUGGAUUUGCCCUUAAAUCCGGGUGUGACAUGAUGUUUGGUGUUUAAGCAAGGGUGAGUACACAUCAACG
Molecule: long non-coding RNA, 2696 nt
Filed under: Zea mays
Lineage: Eukaryota; Viridiplantae; Streptophyta; Magnoliopsida; Poales; Poaceae
Description: long non-coding RNA (ZMAY_LNC003169)
Source: RNAcentral